GACGAACGCUGGCGGCGUGCUUAACACAUGCAAGUCGAACGGAAAGGCCCUGCUUUUGUGGGGUGCUCGAGUGGCGAACGGGUGAGUAACACGUGAGUAACCUGCCCUUGACUUUGGGAUAACUUCAGGAAACUGGGGCUAAUACCGGAUAGGAGCUCCUGCUGCAUGGUGGGGGUUGGAAAGUUUCGGCGGUUGGGGAUGGACUCGCGGCUUAUCAGCUUGUUGGUGGGGUAGUGGCUUACCAAGGAUUUGACGGGUAGCCGGCCUGAGAGGGUGACCGGCGACAUUGGGACUGAGAUACGGACCAGACUCCUACGGGAGGCAGCAGUGGGGAAUAUUGCACAAUGGGCGGAAGCCUGAUGCAGAAACGCCGCGUGCGGGAUGACGGCCUUCGGGUUGUAAACCGCUUUCGCCUGUGACGAAGCGUGAGUGACGGUAAUGGGUAAAGAAGCACCGGCUAACUACGUG
This 468-nucleotide ribosomal RNA is filed under the name uncultured bacterium. Its description in RNAcentral is "partial 16S ribosomal RNA". It matches the Rfam family "Bacterial small subunit ribosomal RNA", at positions 28 to 507 of the family's 1533-position model. The record is from RNAcentral.